RNAcentral lists this ribosomal RNA (491 nucleotides) under uncultured bacterium. Its description in RNAcentral is "partial 16S ribosomal RNA". It matches the Rfam family "Bacterial small subunit ribosomal RNA", at positions 29 to 506 of the family's 1533-position model. The record is from RNAcentral.
AGUGAACGCUGGCGGUAGGCCUAACACAUGCAAGUCGAACGGCAGCACAGUAAGAGCUUGCUCUUACGGGUGGCGAGUGGCGGACGGGUGAGGAAUACAUCGGAAUCUACUUUUUCGUGGGGGAUAACGUAGGGAAACUUACGCUAAUACCGCAUACGACCUACGGGUGAAAGCAGGGGAUCUUCGGACCUUGCGCGAUUGAAUGAGCCGAUGUCGGAUUAGCUAGUUGGCGGGGUAAAGGCCCACCAAGGCGACGAUCCGUAGCUGGUCUGAGAGGAUGAUCAGCCCCACUGGAACUGAGACACGGUCCAGACUCCUACGGGAGGCAGCAGUGGGGAAUAUUGGACAAUGGGCGCAAGCCUGAUCCAGCCAUCCCGCGUGGGUGAAGAAGGCCUUCGGGUUGUAAAGCCCUUUUGUUGGGAAAGAAAAGCAGCAGGUUAAUACCCCGCUGUUCUGACGGUACCCAAAGAAUAAGCACCGGCUAACUUCGU